This 299-nucleotide unclassified non-coding RNA is filed under the name plant metagenome. RNAcentral's name for it is "partial contains small subunit ribosomal RNA, internal transcribed spacer 1, and 5.8S ribosomal RNA". The record is from RNAcentral.
UUUCCGUAGGUGAACCUGCGGAAGGAUCAUUAUCGAAUUUCGAGGGGAAGGAAGAUGAGGAGUGGAGACUGUCGCUGGCAUUCCCGCCUGGGAAGCAUGUGCACGCCUUGCUUUUCGUUGACCUUUCUCUUACUCUCACACCUGUGCACCCAUUGUAGGUCCUCGAAAGAGGAUCUAUGUUUUUAUCAUCACACGCAUCGUAUGUCCAUAGAAUGUAACAUGAUCGUCGAUCGACCUCGCGGUCGGGUGGCGGUCUAAAUAAAUAAAUACAACUUUCAGCAACGGAUCUCUUGGCUCUC